RNAcentral lists this ribosomal RNA (456 nucleotides) under uncultured microorganism. Its description in RNAcentral is "bacterial SSU rRNA". It matches the Rfam family "Bacterial small subunit ribosomal RNA", at positions 9 to 447 of the family's 1533-position model. The record is from RNAcentral.
GAGUUUGAUCGUGGCUCAGGAUGAACGCUGGCGGCGUGCUUAACACAUGCAAGUCGAGCGAAGCGUAUUUGCGGAAGUUUUCGGAUGGAAGCGGAUGCGACUUAGCGGCGGACGGGUGAGUAACGCGUGGGUAACCUGCCUCAUACAGGGGGGAUAACAGUUAGAAAUGACUGCUAAUACCGCAUAAGCGCACAGGACCGCAUGGUCCGGUGUGAAAAAACUCCGGUGGUAUGAGAUGGACCCGCGUCUGAUUAGCUGGUUGGCGGGGUAACGGCCCACCAAGGCGACGAUCAGUAGCGACCUGAGAGGGUGGCCGGCCACAUUGGGACUGAGACACGGCCCAAACUCCUACGGGAGGCAGCAGUGGGGAAUAUUGCACAAUGGGGAAACCCUGAUGCAGCAACGCCGCGUGAGUGAAGAAGUAUUUCGGUAUGUAAAGCUCUAUCAGCAGGGAAG